AAGAACUGGUGUAGCCCAAGAAGGAGGAGAAGCAACAGGGGCAGCACCUGGAGCACCAACAGGAGCGGGUCCAGAAGCUAAAACUGGAGCAGCACCGGGAGCACCAACAGGAGCAGCACCAGGAGAACCAGCAGGAGCAGCACCAACAACAUCGGCAGCAGGUGCACCAGGAACAACAGGAGUGGGAGCAGGUGCAUCGGUUUUAUCCCAAGGUAAUUUGAAUCCAGAGAAUCCACCUUGGAAAGCAUUAACGAUUGAAGAAAUCUGUGAAACAACAGCAAGUGAAUUGCUG
This 292-nucleotide long non-coding RNA is filed under the name Cicer arietinum (chickpea). RNAcentral's name for it is "long non-coding RNA (CARI_LNC000192)". Lineage: Eukaryota; Viridiplantae; Streptophyta; Magnoliopsida; Fabales; Fabaceae. The record is from RNAcentral.